GAUGAACGCUGGCGGCGUGCUUAACACAUGCAAGUCGAACGGAAAGGCCUCUGCUUGCAGGGGUACUUGAGUGGCGAACGGGUGAGUAACACGUGGGUGAUCUGCCCUGCACUUCGGGAUAAGCCUGGGAAACUGGGUCUAAUACCGGAUAGGACAAUGUUUUGGAUGCUGUUGUGGAAAGUUUUUCGGUGUGGGAUGGUCUCGCGGCCUAUAAGCUUGUUGGUGGGGUAAUGGCCUACCAAGGCGUCGACGGGUAGCCGGCCUGAGAGGGUGUACGGACACAUUGGAAGUGAGAGAAGGCCCAGACACGGAAGGGGGGCAGAAGAGGGGAAUAUAGAACAAAGGGAGAAAGCGUGAUGGAGGGAAGACGCGUGGGGGAUGACGGCCUUCGGGUUGUAAAAACAUUAAGAUAGGGACGAAGAGAGUUUGUGACGGUACCUGGAGAAGAAGCACCGGCUAACUACGUG
This 467-nucleotide ribosomal RNA is filed under the name uncultured bacterium. RNAcentral's name for it is "partial 16S ribosomal RNA". It matches the Rfam family "Bacterial small subunit ribosomal RNA", at positions 28 to 507 of the family's 1533-position model. The record is from RNAcentral.